RNAcentral lists this unclassified non-coding RNA (373 nucleotides) under uncultured bacterium. RNAcentral's name for it is "contains 16S-23S intergenic spacer region". The record is from RNAcentral.
UCCAACUUAUCGCUGGCGGUCUCCUGCGAGUUCCCAACUGAAUGAUGGCAGCACAGGACAAGGGUUGCGCUCGUUGCGGGACUUAACCCAACACCUCACGACACGAGCUGACGACAGCCAUGCAGCACCUGUGUCCCUGUCCCCGAAGGGAAAACCGGAUCUCUCCGGCGAUCAGGGCAUGUCAAAAGGUGGUAAGGUUCUUCGCGUUGCUUCGAAUUAAACCACAUGCUCCACCGCUUGUGCGGGCCCCCGUCAAUUCCUUUGAGUUUCACCGUUGCCGGCGUACUCCCCAGGUGGAUGACUUAACGAUUUCUCUCAGCCGCUGACUGUGUAUCGCCAACAGCGAGUCAUCAACGUUUACAGUGUGGACUAC